Molecule: non-coding RNA, 856 nt
Organism: Delphinapterus leucas (beluga whale)
Lineage: Eukaryota; Metazoa; Chordata; Mammalia; Artiodactyla; Monodontidae
Source: RefSeq, a predicted model, not a curated record
CUAAAGUCAUGGAUUCAAGCACAGAGACUAGAGAAACCACAUGUUGAACCUGGAACAGCUACUAUCAGCCUGGGCCCCUGAAUAAUUGCAUGAGGGAGAGCCACCCACCAGCCUGACAUACCUGCUCUAGAAUUUCAUAUGAGAAACUGAGCCAGGAAGAAAUUACAUCUGUUGCCCAAGGUUACGUGGCUGGUGCAUGGGAGUGACCAUUCUGCUGGCUCAGAGCAUCCCUCAAGUUCCACCCAUCUGGAAAAAAAUCAACUUGAAUGAUGGACAGACCAGCCAUUUCAGUGUAGCUCUAUUGCUUUCCCUUGGCAUGGUCCAGAUGGCCUUCAAUGAUGGAUGCUACCAUUGCUGGGGAAAUGUCACUGUUAGAGAAUAGAAAACUGUUAUUCCAAAGAGUACUGAAGACUGACUGAAUGAGGUCUGGAGCAUUAUUGAAAUGAGUUGCUGUGAAAGAACCUUCUCUCCACCUCAGAGCUGCAGGGCUCCAAGCGUCCCGUUGCCGUCUCCCAUUACCCGGACAGUCAGUGCCAGGGCAGUGAUUGUCAGUUUGCUGAGGCGUGCAUUUUAGGCCAGAUCACUUCGAGGGACCCGCCCUCUUUGCCAAUCUCCCAGCUUUCAAAGGCCUCUGUCCAGCAGUGGAUCAAACACCUAGUAACUCACCCAGGGGCAGAGCUAGUGGAACAAGACGGCUGUGCACACUGAGAUGGAUGCCGAGUUCUACUGAGAGCUGCCUAGAGAUGAAACACUCUCCAAUUAAUUAUCCCACCAGAUUUGCAAUAACGCCAAAGCCCACCAAGCUGUGUAUUUGAAUCAGCACUCUGUUUUUCUCUCUAAUUGAAGCCCUCUUAUU